This 297-nucleotide long non-coding RNA is filed under the name Mytilus galloprovincialis (Mediterranean mussel). Lineage: Eukaryota; Metazoa; Mollusca; Bivalvia; Mytilida; Mytilidae. The record is from RNAcentral.
CCGACUGAUUUUAAAUGUUUAUGAGAUGUAUGUUACUGGAAUCCUUCUGCAAAUACGUGACCUUCAUAUCACCAGUGGAAAGACCUCAAUAGUUAUCAGAAGAUGUGGUAUGAGUGCCAAUGAAACAACUCUCCAUCCAAGUCACAAUGUUCAAUUAUCUUCAAUUUCUACUUAAGAUUCACAGGCACUUGUCUCAGAAUUGUUUUUCUUAUAUACCUUAAUAUUAAGGUAUAUAGGAAUUUAUUUUCUGAGACAAGUGCCUCUGUUAAGAUUGGCUGUCAAAAUGCUAACAUUCCA